AAACUAUGCUAGGCCAAAAGCUGUAAUUAAUCUAUGGCUGCUUCUUCAGAAUAGACUGCCUACCAAGGAUAGGCUACUACAGUGGAGUAUGAAUGUAGAUAACAUCUGUGUACUGUGCCAGCAAGCUCCGGAGACCAGAGAUCACCUCUUUCAUAGCUGUCCCUUUGUUUCUCAGCUAAGGCAUCAGACACUGUCAUGGAUUAGGG
This 206-nucleotide long non-coding RNA is filed under the name Nicotiana benthamiana. RNAcentral describes it as "long non-coding RNA (NBEN_LNC035971)". The record is from RNAcentral. Lineage: Eukaryota; Viridiplantae; Streptophyta; Magnoliopsida; Solanales; Solanaceae.